This 436-nucleotide ribosomal RNA is filed under the name uncultured Glomeromycotina. RNAcentral describes it as "SSU rRNA". It matches the Rfam family "Eukaryotic small subunit ribosomal RNA", at positions 596 to 1037 of the family's 1831-position model. The record is from RNAcentral. Lineage: Eukaryota; Fungi; Glomeromycota.
AGCGUAUAUUAAAGUUGUUGCAGUUAAAAAGCUCGUAGUUGAAUUUCGGGAUUAGUACGUUGGUCGUGCCUUCGGUACGUACUGGUGUUACUGAUUCCUACCUUCUGACGAACCAUCAUGUCAUUAAUUUGGUGUGGCGGGGAAUCAGGACUGUUACUUUGAAAAAAUUAGAGUGCUUAAAGCAGGCUCGCGCUUGAAUACAUUAGCAUGGAAUAAUGAAAUAGGACGUUGAUCCUAUUUUGUUGGUUUCUAGGAUUGACGUAAUGAUUAAUAGGGAUAGUUGGGGGCAUUAGUAUUCAAUUGUCAGAGGUGAAAUUCUUGGAUUUAUUGAAGACUAACUACUGCGAAAGCAUUUGCCAAGGAUGUUUUCAUUAAUCAAGAACGAAAGUUAGGGGAUCGAAGACGAUCAGAUACCGUCGUAGUCUUAACCAUAAAC